UACAGAGGGUGCAAGCGUUAAUCGGAAUUACUGGGCGUAAAGCGUGCGCAGGCGGUUAUGUAAGACAGGUGUGAAAUCCCCGGGCUUAACCUGGGAACUGCAUUUGUGACUGCAUAGCUAGAGUACGGCAGAGGGGGAUGGAAUUCCGCGUGUAGCAGUGAAAUGCGUAGAUAUGCGGAGGAACACCGAUGGCGAAGGCAAUCCCCUGGGCCUGUACUGACGCUCAUGCACGAAAGCGUGGGGAGCAAACAGG
This 253-nucleotide ribosomal RNA is filed under the name uncultured bacterium. Its description in RNAcentral is "partial 16S ribosomal RNA". It matches the Rfam family "Bacterial small subunit ribosomal RNA", at positions 524 to 776 of the family's 1533-position model. The record is from RNAcentral.